CUGUGAGCUUUAUAGCAACAAGAUGCUGCUAUCUUUAUACUGCAUAUACUUUUGAGUAGUUUGUCAUUUCAGUGGUAGACUUGGUGAGCCCUACAGACAUCCUGGGGCCCAAGAGCAUGUGACUGAGAGAUCUGGUCAAGGAGGAAGACUGUAAUCACAGAACAGAGCAAAACCAAUUGGCUUAUGGAAGCACUGAUACCUCAGUCUUGGCUCCGUUAACAUGGGGCUCAAACUAACUGGCCACCACACAGUAUUUGUAAAUGGGCGGAUAGGCAGACAUGCAAACAAUACACUAGACAUAUCUUAAACCUAACUGCAUUCUGGCCAAUCAACAUUCAUUGAGCAUCUAUUAUAUGUGAAACAGUAAAACAGAUGGAUACUCACAGAAAUACCCUCCUGAAAGUUAAACAUAUAACAAUUCACUGGAAGACAUAAAAAUAUUUACCAGGUAUUUUGGUAACAUCUCUCAACAGCUCAAAGAGUAAGUCCAAGGUUGGCGGUUGGUGCUGACGUGGGCAAUUGGACACAGCAGCUGUUAACUGCUCAAGUAAGAUGAUCCAGACUUCUAUCAGACCUGGAAUCCCAAAAACAGCCUCUGUAAGACCCACUUCAACACAGUGAUCACUGCAAGAUCAAAUUCAACAGUGCAUUUAACAGGGUUCUACACACUGUCAAGAGCUGUAAGGAUGUCCACAAGCUCCAGGUCUAAGAGCACUCCAUGGUGACGCUCAGAACUGUAAGGCCUGAGACUGCUGCCCUCAGAAAGGCUCACUUGCAAGGUUGCUGCAGCCAACAGCUAACUGGGCGCUGAACAAGGGCCUCCACCCCGACUGGAUCUGCGUGGAACACACUUCAACCAGCUCACCAAUGGAUGUGACCACCUGGAGAGGCAAAGAUGGUGGCACUUAAAAUCCUUUCCUUAAAAGCAGCAGGAGAAUUUCUGGAAAGGAUGACAUACUUCUCUGUCCCCCAUUUCUGGGUUAAUUUUAGAAAAGCAAAUAACCAGAACCCAAACAAUCUCACCCUAAAAUCAUCAAGGUGCACAGUUAUAUCGCAUUUCUCUAAUGUUCCUGAACAACUUUUCACAUGCUUAUAGGCGAUUCAUAAGUCUUUUGUCUGUUUUUUAAAUUCAAUUUUUUCUUUUCAUUAUUGAGUCGCUAGAUUCUUUAUGUAUUAUAGAAUCGUCCUUCACGAGAUAUAUGAUUUGCAAAUCAUUUUUUCCCAGCAUUGGGCUUGUCUAUUAAUGGUGAUUUGAAGAGUAAAAGUUUUUAAUUUUGAUGAAGUCUAAUUCAUCAACUUUAUGGAUUAUUUCUAAGAAACCUUUGCCCAACCCGCAGUCUUAAAAAUUCUCUUAUGCUUUCUUCUAGAAAAUUUAUAAAUUAAAAUUUUACAGUUUUAGCUCUUACAUCUCUGACCAAUUUUGGGAUAUUUUUUGUGCAUGAUAUGAGGUAAGUUCAUUUUGAUUACAUAUGGAUAUUCAAUUGUUUAAAAGCACCAUUUGCUGAAAACACUGCCUAUUCCCAUAAAAUUGUAAUGGCAUCUUGGUAAAAACUCAAUUACUGUAUUUUUUGCAAAUAAUACAUGUAUACAUAUAACAUGCAUAGUGCACCUAGGGAAAAAAUGCACGAAGAGGUUUUGCAGUUGUCAAAAACAAAAAAAAAGUAUGAUGCACAUUACACUGUACUCAGUUCCACUGAUCUGUAUGUCUGUCCUUACACCAGUACUACACUGUCUUGUUUACUGUACCUUCAUGGUAAGUUCUGAAAGUAGGUGGUAGUGUUCUCCAAAUUUGUUCUUUUCCAAAUUUGUUUCUGCUUUUCUAAAUCCUUUGCAGUUUCAUAUAAAUUUGAGAACUGCCUUGUCAAUUUCUUCAAAAAAGCCUGCUGAUUUUGAUAGGGGUUGCACUGAGUCUAUACACAUCAGCUUGGAGGAAACUAUUAUUUGAAAAACAUUGAGUCCUUUAAUCCAUGAACAUGGUAUAUUUCAUAAUCUGUUUGGAUCAUCUCUAAUUUCUCUCAGCAAUGUUUUGUAAUUUUUGGUGUACAGGUUUUGAAUUCGUAAAAUUUUUUAACUAUUUUAUUAUUUUUGAUGCUCUUGUGAAUGGAAUUUUUCUUUUAAUUUCAUUUUUGGAUAAUUCUUUUCUAGUGUAUAGGAGUUCAAUUGAUUUUAGUUUGUUGAUCCUGUAUUCAGGGACCUAGCUAAACUCACGUAUUAAUUCUACCAAUUUUUUUGUUGUUGUUGUUAAAUUCCUUAGGAUUUUCGACAUACAAGAUCAUGUGGUCUGUGAAUUAAGAAGGUUUUACAUAGCCUCUCUUUGUCACACAUUCCAUAUAGAAUUAUUGCAAGGAGUAAGCAUGCAAAGCCUGCAGAACAGUGCCUACCACUACAUUCAAAAUAAGUUUGCUAUGAUGAUGACGAUGAUGAUGAUUACUGUGAGACACUCACCUGGUCUUGGACAUCCUCGUCACACAACUCUAGCUGCAUAAUACGCUCAAAAGGGCGGAAGAGUGCUUCAUUAAAGUGAAAAUGAGGUGGCUCAUUCCAGUCAGUAAGAACCUCUGUCAGUAUAUCAUGGAUGAAGGAAACAGCCUUCUGAGAAACAUGUCUUUCCUUGUGGCAAGCAGCCUGCAAAAUUCACAGCAGAAGGGAAAACCAUCAGGACUUUGGCCAAGUAAGAUUUUGGUUUCUGAAGGAUUUCCUAACCCACCUGAACAUCAUUAUAGGGAGGUAGAAGCAGUGAUUGUGUUAAAGUAGAAAUAUUCCAGUAGACAAGUAUAGAUGCGCUGCAUGCUAAAUUGCAUUUUUAAAAAUUUAACCCACUGAUCCAACACAACUCCAAUUUCACUUUAAUGAUUCUGGAAAAAUAAGAGUUUCUAGUAAUUUCAUUCCCCCCACCCCCACCCCAUAAUAAUGUGACGAUUUUCUUGGAUGGUAUAGAACAUGCUUACUAUAGAGAUGUCAGAACCUAGUCUGAGAACUGCUCAUGGUCUUAUUUCUUAGCCUUGCCCCAAACAAACGAAGACCAGGUAAGUCAUUUGUCCCUCAGUGAGGUAGGUCAUUGCAACAGUAGUCCCAGCUGGUUCACACCUCUUUAUAUCCAUGCCCUUUAGUUGUCCUUUCUCAUACCGACCCUGGGCUUGGAUGUAUGACUUGCUUUGGGCAAUAACAAACAUUACAUAACAAAGACUGGAAAAGUACCUGUGAUUGGGGUUUGUCCUCCUGCAGUUCUUUGAAAGCCUAAGAAUGCCAUGUGAACAAGCCUGGGCUAGCCGGCUGGAGGAUGGGAGGCCAUGUAGAGAGAGAACCACUUGCUCAGCCAUCAGCCAUCUCUGUCAAGGCCAUUAUGAACCAGCCAGCCUUAGUCUUUGCACUAGCAAGGCCUACUGAGAUCAGCCAAGCGUGGCCCAGACCAGAACUGUCACAGAGCCCAGCUAAAAUUUCUGACCACAGAAUCACAGCUAAAUAAAUGGCUGCUGUUUUAAGCCAUUAAGUUUUUGGGGUGGUUUGUCUUAUCUCUACCAGAUAAGUGAUAAAGGGCUAUGUGAGAAUAGUUAUCACUGUAAAACAAUUUGAUGACUGGCUAUUUCUAAAUUGAUGAGGUAACAAUUUUUCCUCACCAACUUAGUAGUAGCCAGUCAUCACUGAUUGAGAUACUUAGAUGUAGAGUUUCAAUAGAUGAAUCAUACAAGUGGAUUUUCUUUGGACUGUGAAAGCAUGCAACUGUUUUAAUUCUGUUGAGAAAAUGAGGAUGUAUGGUUUCCCUACUGAGGGUAUAUUUAGCUUUUAGAAUUGAGAGACUGGCAGGAACAAAAGGCAUUGCUAUAUUCAUGUAUAAAAAUGAGGACAUUCGGAAUCAUCUGCUUAUCUUUCAGCUCCAAACUCAGGUUGAUACCAGAUCAAAAAGAAUGAAAACCUGUCUGUGUAAGGUACCUGAGUUGUAUAAUUGUAAAUAGGUCAGAUCAAGACCCUGUCCUUCCAGGUGACUCUUUAGAUGCCAUACGGGAGAACCAGAGAACGAUGAUGUUUGGGACCAGAUGACAGGAGCAUUGCCCUUGCUUUAUGGCCACCGUGCUCUGUCUAUACAAUGACUGGACACCUCUGUGAUGCCUCUGCUGGGAGAGUUCCCUAAGCCAGUUGCUCUUUCUGGUGGUUCUGGCAGUUCUGGCUACUGCUCACUUUCAAAGUGCUCACCUCCACCAAGUGUGGGGCCACAAGGCUCCAGCAGCGCAUCACAUGGAGCAGGGGCCGUGAUUUGCCCCGCACGAUCCUCAGCAUGGCAUCCCCCAGGCGGAACAGGUGGAGGGCACUUUUUCGGUCCUGGGUGGAUUUGACUUCUCCUACAGGAAGGCAAGACAAUAAACAUCAUAAAACCCAAACUCAGAAGUAACUGAACCUAUUCAAGCAGAGAGCGAAUGAAAAUCUGGGGAAAUAAUUCCCCUCCCACCUGUCAGAACUGAACUGGACUGGUGAGCAUAUUGGUACAUAGAAGCCCAUUGAGCUGCACAGGGUAGUUUGCUGCACGUACGCACGCAUGCGCACACAUACACACACGAGCCUCUAUGCUGAGAUCUAACAGCUACAACAGUGAUACAGGGACGACUGGGUAUCCCUCAGAGUACAGAGCUACUGUAACUCAACAUCUACUCAUCCAUUUGAUCUCUUGUUACUGCUUUGCCAUGGUCACUUUGGUCUUCCCCCCUUCCUCGUUGCUCAUCAUGUCCUAUUGCUGCUCCUACAAAAUGCUGGUCUUUACUGUACUCUUCCAACCAGAACAUUCCUUUUUCAUUAGUCUUGCCAUGCCAAAUAAACUUUGAAGAAACAAUCACUGGCAUAUACUGAAUACUUACAGUGGAUCAGAUAUUGUGUGGUACCUUACCUCGUUAAUCACUUAAAUGUUUGAACAUCCUCAAGAAGUAAAUAUAAUUAUUGCCAUUUUACAGAUCAGAAAAUUGAAUGUCAGAAAGGCAAGAUGUCUUGCCCAAGAUGAUGCAGCUGGAACAUGGUGAAGCCAGCACUGUAACUCAGAUCUGACUGAUUCCAAAGCCAGCGCUUCCUCCUCCUAUGCUUGCUGUCUCUUCCUGACCCUGCUCAUUGUCUUCUGGAAGCUCAAAACCUGCUGUUUUUUUCCAGUGCAAAAGACUUUGAGGGCUUCCUCUGAGCUCAGAGAUACUCUGGAAGUCAAUGAGUCUGGGAGGUUGGCUUGAUAUAGCUAAGGUUUCAUUAUCUAUUAAAAACUAGUAGGGAAAGAACCGUGGUUCUCAGGUUAGAUAGCAAUAAAGACCAAAAGGGUAAAUAAAUUGCACUUAGAACUUCCGAUUCCUAAAAUGGAAGGGACCUCAAGAGGUGGUAGGGUCCAACCUGCCACCAAGGUAUUUCCACAGCACGUGGCUAUGUGGCUUCUCUCUGCAUUCAUCCAGGACUAGAUUCUCAGUUUCAAGGAGGGCCUGUGCUGCUGUUCCAUGUGUGAGCAACCUGCCUUCAUUUGCAGCCAUAGGGCAAUUUAGUUCCUCUACUCCCUCUUCCAUGAGGUUGCUAUUUGAGACCAGCUUUCCUCUCUGCCCCAUCGUUACUGGGAUACGCCCUGAAAGCAGUUUUUCUAAGAGAAGGAUCAAAUCUCUGUUGCUCCAUCCUUCCAUUUCCUCUCUCACCAAUCCCUUUUAGAAUCAACAGCUGCUCUGCAAGUGGGCUGGACUGAGGUGAGCAGGAUGGUUCAUGAUAUGCAGAAAGGUUCCAACCCUCAUGAGAAGCACCCCUAAGUAGCAGCCAUAUAAUUUCUGUAUCACAAGCAUAAUCCUUAACAGAACCACCUAGCCCAGCUCCAGUGGCAAUACCCUGCAGCAGUGGUGGCAGCAAUACUUCCAUUCACAAGUAAUAAUACCACCCCACAGAACACAUGGUGCCUCAAAAUCAGAUGACAAAUCUGCCCUGGAACUUAGCCAGAGUGACCACAUGCAAAGGGAAAGAAUUACCUGGCAUUGCCAGAGAGUAAUCGACCGUAUCCGUCACAGAAUGGAAAAGCUGGGACUGUGAAGCUUUCUUCAGCUGGUAAAGAAAACCUCCCAGAGCCACUAGGUUCAACUUAUCUGUAGCCUCUUCAAAGAGCCUGGAUGCAAACAAAGAAAGAAAGAUCUGUUACUUGGAAAGAAUUCAGCAGUUUUUAUGGCAGAAUGAUUAUGUGAGAGCCAUGGACAGCAGCAGAUCACAGACCUGCACAUUAAACCCAUUCCGCUCCAGGCUAAUGCAUCCCGGUUCUUUUAAAAACACCUCUCAAGAUCAGUUUUUCAACCUAAAGCUGUUACAUAAUAAUUGCUGGUAGCACAUGCGAUGUAUGUAUAUUCAUAAACCCAAGACCCAAGUCAUUACCUGCCACUGUGGAGCCAUCAAU
This is a long non-coding RNA of Loxodonta africana (African savanna elephant), 6385 nucleotides long. RefSeq lists it as uncharacterized. The transcript has 7 exons. The record is from RefSeq and is a predicted model, not a curated record. Lineage: Eukaryota; Metazoa; Chordata; Mammalia; Proboscidea; Elephantidae.